GUUCGCACACUUGAAUCACACAAGAAUUGCUUGCAAAAUGCCUUGCUAUUUUGCUCUCAACUCAAGUUUAACUUAAGCGUUUGUGCGUACAUAUAAAAUGAGAACAUCCUGUAAUUUAUAGAGUUAGUAGAAUAGGAAUAACUAGAGUUCUAAUGCUAUACUCUUCCAUGGUGUAAGAGUUCUAGUUAUCUUCAACUUCUAACUCCUCCCUUAUCUAGGAUAGAGCUCUCUUUGAGUAAGGAGUCCUUCUCCUUAUCAUUUAUGCAACCUUUCGUUCAGGAGAUAUCAGAUAUAACCACUUAAGCUUAUCUCCUUCACAUGCAUGCCUUGUUCUUGAAUCUACCCGUGUCUGUGUACACAGUGUAUGGACCUAAUUCAUGCUUGAGUUCCUUUGUCAAUCAUUAAAAUAAAAUUCUCUUGGGCCAACAAAUUUCCCCUUUUGAUGAUGACAAACUUUGUGCUUUUUAUAAGCAUAGGCCCCUGUGUCAACGUAGCACAACAUCAACACAAUGUUGGAACACUUUCCAUUUUAAAGUCACAAAUCAUCAAGGACAAGGUUCAUUAUGUUAUAAACACCAUAGUCCAAAGUAAAAAGCACAACUUCAUUAGGUUAUAAACAUCAUAGUCCAAAGUAAAAAGCACAACCUAUCUUCCCCCUUUUGGCAUCAUCAAAAAGUUACAUAACUAUAUUAGAUAACCAGAUUGUAAUAGAAAUUACUCAUGGCCAGUGGGGCUAUGUCAAAUGCAAUCAUGGAGUCAAGCAUCACUUAUCAAUCUGAUGAUAUUAGUCAACUCAGAAGCAUCAACAAACAGUUAGAGCACAAAAAUAGUUGACUAUCAUUGAUACUAGUCGUCCACAAAGCAUAACGAGAAAUAAAAACACUGGAUCAUGAGCAUAAAGAUAAAAAAGAAAUCCCAUCUGGGUCACUGGUUUGUCUAAUUAGGCUAGGAAGGUUUUAAGGCUGGGAACGACCAUGUUCUUAGUUCUUGGCUAGAAGCAGUUACAGCAUAUCAUGAAGAAUGCCAUCAUUCUUCUCUUUUUCCUUUGCAAGCUCAUCUCUGAGAGCAUCUCUCUCAGUUUUUACUUCUACCAACCUCUUCUUCAGCCUUUCAAUCUCAGUAUCCUUAGCCCCACUUUCUUAUACCAAGGCUCGCACUUUGCUGUUCACAGAUAUCUUCUUGGAUGAACCAGGUUCUUUGGGAGUGGUGUGGACUUCAUAUUCACAAGCAGUCAAAGUGUUUGCCCCAAAAUGAUCCUUGCUUGUACCAACUUCCCAUUUCUUGAUUGGUACCUUGAAGUGUGCAAGUACAGCCAUGAGAAUGAAACUAUAAGGAUGGCAUGAGUUUUGGUUCCAGUCAGAAUCCUAUCGAGAAGCUGGAUGAUAAAUCCAGGCUAAUUGAUUUGCCUUCCACUGUCUAGACAUUCCAUAAAGACCAGGUCCGUGAAUGUGGAAAUGUGCCUCAUUUUCUACCUAGGUAGCACAACUUUGCUAACAAAUUUGAACAAUACUUUAUGGGGUGACUUCAUCUCACUUUUGUAUAUAGCCUUGGGCUCAAGCUCUUCUUCAUUGUCACCAAACUUCCUUAUAAUGGUAAGGGCAGAAGGGAGAUUCUCUAGACUUGGUCAUUUGAGUUUCUUGUAAUCAUUGUACCCUGCAACAGGUACACCUAAGAUUUCUCCCAAUUCCUUGUCAUCAAAACUCACUGUUACCCCCUUCACCACACUGGUGACUCUGCCAUUUUUUAUCUCACAGUUUUCCAUGAACUCCAUAAUUCUAGUUCUGGCAAGCUUUCCAUCCAUUUGAAGGACCAUGUCCUUCCAACCCUGAAGUUGUAACUUUUUCAGCAGCAUCAUCAUGCCUUCCUCCUCCAAGUUCCUGAGGAGUAUACCUUUCAAGAUGGUUCUCUUCCCAAACUUAACCAUCUUGUCCUUCUCCUUUCUUCUUCUUCUUCCACUACUUUCACUUUUUGGACUUUAAGGCAAACCUGGUUCUUUUAGCCAAGGUAGAGGGCCCUGCAGACUUUGUCUUAGAAAUAGACUUCUUUGUGGAAGUCUUGAUCUUCUUUGCCUUUGGAGUCACAACCUCCAUUUCUUCUACCUCCUCUUCAUCAAUAAGAACCAAGUCCAUCUCCUCAAUUUCAACUGCCUUAAUAGGCUCAACCACCUUCUUAUUUCCCUUAGCAACAACUUUUCUCUUACUUUCUUCUAGGGCCUUUUCCAGUUUAGCCUCACUUUGCUUCUUCUGACUCCUUGUAGCUCUUUCUCUUGUAGGAGGAGUCACUACAGGGAUAGAAGAGGCAGCAUUUCUUUUCUUAUUGUGCCCUCGCAGUGCCAGGAAUUUUAACUGCUGAACUCCUUUUGUUUUUAGGAUUAUAGCUAUCAGACACUCUUCUCAAUAUGUCUUCGAGGGAUUCCUGCACAAAUGGAACAGGUUCUGGAAACCUCUUCCUCAACCUAACCAACCCCUCAGCAGCUUCGCCAGACCCACUUCCCUUUUUUUUCUCUCACACUUUCUUCUUUUCCAACAGAUUCCUCACUCCAUACUACCAUAGCUCUAAUUUCUUCAGUUAGACCAAGAGGGGUGGGUGAAGAUUUAGCCACUCUUUUUCCCAUUCCCCUAACAUCACCUUGAGAACCCCCACUCUCCUUUUCUUUUCUCCUUUUACUUUUACCACCAAUUUUGCCAGACUCAUGGUCUCUACCCCAGCCAUAAUUCCUACCAGAACAAACCUAUUUUCCUGAUUUGCAGCAACCUCAGAGAUGAUUUUAGAAGUAAUUUUCGGACCAAAAGUUACCUGCUUUGUUUCAGAAGAAAUAGUUCCCUCCCCCCCCCCCCCAGUAGCAGACUUGAAUGUCAAGAUUCAUCAGAUUUCUGGGGUUCUUCUUCCCUACUUGCUUUCAAUGUUUUAUUGAUUUUCUUGAUUUGUUCUUCUCCAGCAAGAUAACCUUGCUUGCAGCCAUCUUGAACCUUCCUUUCUUAGAGGUGGGUAUGGUUGAAGGUGUGAUGGAUGGUAUGGGUGUAGUUUCCUUAGGUGGUGAUGAGGGAUUCUCAUAAGGGUUUGCCAUUGCUAUGUUUGGGUAUGAGAGAAGAUAAGUAUGUGUAUGACUGGAAGAUGAGAGAAGAUAGAAAGAAUUGUUUGACGGCUUAGAAAUUUUGAAGUAAAGAAACAAUUAAGGCCUAAUCAAUAUAAAAAGGAAGAGUUUAAUUGGGUAACAUCUGCUUUUUCAGAAGUUCAGAGGUCUAAUCAAACUGGGAGUCAGUUUGAAGAGACGUUUAUGACUCUCCCUAGAAUCUAGGCACUUAUUGCAUUUUUAGGACUCUUAUGAAUGAAACUGGUUCAUUUCAUAACAGAUACGAUCGACGAGGUAACGAUUAAACGGGACUCACCAUUUGAUCACAAUCCAAAUAUAAUUAUUUCAAAAUAUGCAGAGUGAAGAGUACGUAUCAUGUAAUCUUGAUGAACCAGGUUCUUCACUAAGAAAUCUCUUGUGUAAGUCUGAAUUUUCCAAGAAAAUAAAGAUAAUAUCAUUAGAGAUUAAUGAUACAUUUUUAGCAUAUGGCAGAAGAGUAUACUGAUGAAAGUAUGAGACUGAGCAAAAUCUAAUCUAAUUAUGUAUAAAAAUUCACAGAUUUUCUAAUCAAUUUUUGAGUUAGAUUUGGUUCCUUUUAGGUAAUCUUAAGCAUCCCUAAUUCUAAUUUGUUCCUUUCAAAGUGAUCUCUACUUAGAACUUUUGUGAAGAUGUCAGCUAUUUGCUUGUCAGUAGUACAAAAUUCCACAAUGAUCAAACCCUUUUCAUAAUUGUCCCUCAAAAAGUGAUGCCUCACAUCUAUGUAUUUAGUUCUUUUGUGACAAACCGUGUUCUUGGUCAUACUAAUCGCACUGGUGUUAUCCCAAAAGAUGGGGAUACAGCUUACAUCAAUUCCAAAGUUCAUUAAUUUCUGUUUGAUCCAUAACAAUUGAGCACAACAUGAGGCAACAUCAACAUACUCAGCUUCAGCAGUAGAUAAGGCCAUAGAAUUUUGCUUUUUGGUGGCCCAAGACACAAGACAUGAGCCAAGAAAGUGUGAUAUACCUGAGGUGCUCUUUCUAUCCACAAGAAAAUCUGCAUAAUCAGUAUCAACAUAUCCCACUAAGUUGAAAUUACUACCUUUUGGAUGCCAUAGACAAAGGUCAGUGGUGCCUUUUAGGUAUCUCAAGAUCCUCUUGACAGCAGUCAAGUGAGAUUCCUUUGGAUUUGCCUCAAAUCUAGCACAAAGGCCUACACUGAAAACAAUGUCAGGUCUGCUAGCAGUGAGAUAUAACAAAGAGCCAAUCAUUCCCCUAUAUAACUUCUGAUUAACAGAUGAACCAGGUUCAUCUACAUCCAAAUUUGUGGCUAUUACUUUAGGAGUGUCAAUUUCUUUGGAAUCUUCCAUUUUAAACCUUUUAAGCAACUCUUUCACAUACUUAUGCUGAUGGAUCAUAGUUCCAUUUGAAUUUUAUUUAAUUUGUAAGCCUAAAAAGAAAUUAAGCUCACCCAUCAUACUCAUUUCAAAUUCACUCCCCAUUCGUUUAGCAAAUUCUUUACUUAACUUACCAGUAGUUACUCCAAAGAUUAUAUCAUCAACAUAUAUCUGAACUACCAAAAGAUCUUUACCUUUUUCUUUCAAGAAUAAAGUAUUAUUAAUUUUACCUCUCUUGUAGCAAUGCUCAAGCAAGAAUUUUGAUAAUCUUUCAUACCAUGCUCUUGGAGCCUGCUUCAUCCCAUAGAGUGCCUUGUCAAGCUUGUACACAUGAUCAGGACAUUCCUUGCUUUCAAAGCCCGGAGGAUGCUUGACAAACACUUCUUCCUUUAGAUAGACAUUGAGGAAGGAACUCUUGACAUCCAUCGGAUGGAGAGUGAAUUCCAUAUAAGCAGCAAAGGCUAUAAGGAGUCUAAUUUCCUCCAAUCUUGCAACUGGAGCAAAAGUAACCACCAAUCUUGCCUUGUUCCUUGUAACUGUUCCAUCCUCAUCCAGUUUGUUUCUGAAGAUCCAUUUUAUGCCAAUUAAUGAUCUGUCCUUGGGUCUUGGUACCAGAUGCCAAACUUGACUUCUCUCAAAUUGGUUGAGUUCAUCUUGCAUUGCAGUCACCCAGUCUGCAUCCUGCAAAGCUUCAACAACAUUUUUAUGUUCAAUAAGAGAUAAAAAACCAUCAAAAGCACAAAGAUUCUUCAAAAAAGAUCUGGUUUUGAUUCCAGAGGUUGGAUAAGUAAUUAUAUUCUCAAUGGGAUGAGAAAUUUGAUACUUGUAAAGUUUCACAACCAGCUGGUUUCCCCUAGAUGUUCCUUCAAUGUUUUAUUGCUAAGGAACAGGUUCAUAGACAGGUUCCCUCGAGGUUUGAGGAUCAGUUCCUCUUUGUUCAGUUCCCCCUGUCAAGUAGCCCUGGGCGGAAGAACCUGUUCCAUCACAUGUUCCUUCCUCUGGUGCAUCCUCAGUCUGGGUUGUGGUUUCAUUUGAGUUUCUUACCAGCCCAAUUGCUUCAUCAUCAUGUUCCUGCCUCUCAGAAAGAAUGUUAGUUUCAUAAAAAAUCACAUGUACACUUUCUUCUACACACAUAGUUCUUUUGUUAUAAAUCUUAUAAGCUUUACUAUGUGAAGAAUAUCCCAAGAAUACUCCAUCAUCACUUCUGGAAUCAAACUUACCUAGGGAGUCUUUACCAUUAUUGUGCAUAAAGCACUUGCAUCCAAAUGCCUUAAGAUGGGAUAUGUUUGGCUUUCUCCUUUAAGUAACUCAUAGGGAGUCUUCUCAAUAAGAGGUCUAGUCAUGCACCUAUUUAUGAUGUAACAUGCAGUGUUCACAACUUCUGCCCAUAAACUAUGAGGCAGUUUACUAGAAAGAAACAUAGUCCUAGCCAUUUCUUCCAAUGUCCUAUUCUUUCUUUCAACUAUUCCAUUUUGUUGUGGAGUCCUAGGAGCAGAAAAAUUAUGAUUUAUGCCAUGUUCAUCACAAAAUUUAGCAAAUUUAGCAUUCUCAAAUUCAGUACCAUGAUCAGACCUAAUUGAUGCAAGUUGAUUACCUAGUUGUUUCUGAGUUAAAGAAGUGAACAUGUCAAAUGUUUCAUCUUUAGAUGUUAAAAAUAAUGUCCAGGUAAACCUAAAGUAAUCAUCAACAAGCACCAUCACAUAUCUCUUUCCACCUCUGCUCAAUGUUAUCAUUGGUCCACAAAGAUCCAUAUGGACCAGUUCCAUUGUUCUUGUGGUGCUUACGACUUUCUUGCUUUUGAAAGAGGAUCUUACCUGAAUUCCCCUUGCACAAGCCUUACAAACUUUAUCUUCUUUGAACUUAAUGUUAGGUAGCCCUAUCACCAAAUCUUUGGAGACUAGUUUGUUGAGUUGACUUAGACUGGCAUGUCCAAGUCUCUUGUGCCAAAGGAGGGGAUCAUUAUCCAAUACACUUAAGCAAGUGAGUUCAUUAUCUGAAAGUAUGGACAGAUUUACAACAUAUAUGUUGUUCACUCUUUUUCCCUACAAAACUAUCUUGUCAGUGGUAAGAUUAAUCACAAAGCAUUUUAUAGAGGUGAAUGUUACCAUGUUACCUCUAUCAUACAAUUGUGAUACACUUAUUAGACUGUACUUCAGUCCAUCUAUCAGGUAGACGUUCUCAAUAAAGUGAGAACUAGUCUUACCUACCUUUCCAACCCUAAUGAUCUCACCUUUCUUCCCAUUUCCAAAGGAGACAUUACCUCCUUUAAGAUUCUCAAAUGAAAGGAAUUGGUUCUUGUUUCUUGUCAUGUGCUUUAAUCAGCCACUAUCCAUGUACCAUAUUUGGCUGCUCCCCUUCACUUGGACCUGCAAAAGGAAAUCAUGGGUUAGUAUUAGGAACCCAAACUAGUUUGGGUCCCUUUCUAUAGGCAAACAGAUGAAUCAAAUUCUUUUUAGCCCAACUGGGUAAUUCUUUCCUUGAAUAAAUUCUUUGUUCUUUUGACUUGUCUUUUCUUUUGCAGUGCAUUCACUUUUAUAGUGACAUAUUUUACCAUAGUGUGUGCAAAUCUUGUUCUCAGGAAGUGUGAGGUACUUGCUUUUAGGAUCCCACUUAGGUGCCAGGUUCCCAAAGACAAGUCCUCUUCUCUUGCUAAUAUGGUGUUCGUGUAGCUAUGAAAGUGCAUUGGAGGACCUGUUCCAUUUACAAGUUUUGUCUAGCUCAUGCUUGACCUUGCUUAGAUCCUCCUUUAGGAUUCUUACCUACUCAUCCCUUUUAUACACCUCAUAUUUCAUUUUUCCUAUAUUUUCUUCUAGAGUGAGUUGUGUGUGAUUAGUUGUCUUUUUACCUGUUCCUAAUUUCAAUUUUAGAUUUUCAGAUCUAAGCACUAGGACAGUUGAGUCAAGUGCAUGAACCUGGUUCUUCAACACAGUAUUUUCACUUACAGUUUCACUUACCAUAAGUUCUAGGUUUUUGCACUUAGCCUUUAAAAUCACACAUUCUUUAGACAACUGUUCCUUUUCAUUGUUUACAUCCUCAGAUUCAUCAAUUAGUUCUAGAAGUAACUCAGAUAACCUUUCUUUAGACAACAAUUUAAUCUUGUCUUUGAGAUGAAUUACACUUACCUUAGUUUUUUCAUCAGAUUCUCCAAUGGGCAUAAGUGUUUGUUCAUCCUCAUCAUCAUCUGAGCUUUCUCCCUAAGCAACGACCAUAACCUUGGUUGAUCCUUUGUUGUUGCUUUUCUUGGGUUGAACCUGUUCCUUCUUCUUGUUACUUUGUUCAGCUCUUUCCUUCUUCCAUUCAAUUUCCCAUAGAGGACAGUUCUUGACGUGGUGAUUAGUCCUUCCACACUUGUAGUAGCCAUCAUUGGUUUGCUUCUCAGGAGCUUUUGACUUGCUAUAGUUUCCAUUUCUUGAAGAGCCUUUUCCUCUCCUCGGGUACUUCUUGAAGUCCUUAAUGAUCAUAGCUAUUUCAUCAUCUUCUAGAUCAGAACCUUCAGUGAUUCUAAGUGCCAAGCUCCUUUCCUUCUUAGGUACAUCAAUUUUUAUGGUUUGUCUCCUAAGUUUAUAGGCAGUGAGAUUUUCAAUUAAUUCAUCUAUUGGGAGAGUGACAAUAUUCUUUGAUUCCUGAAUGGUAGUGAUUUUGCUCUCCCAAGUGAUAGGCAAAACCCUAGUCAGUAUUUUCUCGACUCUAUCUUCUUCAGGAAUAAUCCUUCCAAGAGACUUUAGUUCAUUUGUCAGUGUAGUGAACCUUGUGUACAUCUUUUGAAUGGUUUCUCCUUCCUUUAUACAAAGUUCUCAUAUUGCGAAUACAAUAAAGUUUCUCUAGAUCUCUUCACCUGAGGUGUUUCUUCAUGAGCCACUUGCAAUAUAUCCCAAAUUUGCUUAGUAGUGGUACAUCUUUGAAUUCUGCUGUACUCAUCUCGACCAAGUCCACAAACAAGCCAUUUCUUGGCUUUUAUAUUCUUCUCCCAUUUCUUCAAGUCCUCAGCAGUGCAAUCCGCUCUUGUCUUUGGCACCUCUACUCCUUCCGUAUUUAUCUUCAUGGUAUCCAGUGGACCAUCGGUGACAAUGGCCCAUAACUCAUAGUCCUCUCCUAUAAUGUGAUCUCUCGUCAUGUUUUUCCACCAAGAGUAGUACUGGCCGUUAAAGAGUGGUGGCCUAGCAGUAGAUUGCCCUUCCCAGUUUUCAGGUGGUGCACUUAUGUUGAUCUUCUCCUAAGGUGUAAGCCUCUUCAAGGAGAACCUGCUCUGAUACCAAUUGAUGUUUUAUACUUCAAUGCCACACAAAAGGGGGGGUGAUUUGUGUGGUGUCCAAUUUUGGCGUGCACUGAUUAUAGAAGAACCUGGUUCUUCUAUGUACUCCUUAUAUUACUGUUGCGAAAAUAGUAAAUGCGAAAAGUAAAGAACACAAGUAUUUUUAUGUGGAAAACACCGGACUCAAAAGAUGAAAAAACCACGACCUACUACUCAGUAGGAUUUUCCCCAACACUUNNNNNNNNNNNNNNNNNUAGGAUAGAGUUCUCUUCGAGUAAGGUGUCCUUCACCUUAUCAUUUAUGCAACAUUUUCGUUCAGGAGAUAUCAGAUAUAACCACUUAAGCUUAUCUACUUCACGUGCAUCUUGUGCUUGAAUCUGCCCGUGUCUGUAUACACUGUGUAUGGACCUGGUUCAUACUUGAGUUCCUUUGUCAAUUAUCAAAACAAACUUCACUUGCGCCAACAAGAUUGAUGGCGUGAUGGAUGGGAAUUGGGACUUCCCAUUAUAAGUGGUCGUAAUUUAUUAAUUACAACAAAGAGGACAAAACCUAGAAAAAGAAAAACAAGGUACAAAAGGGAAACAUUUAGAAUUUGAUAUAUUCUCUGUCCAAAAAGAAGGGGAAAAAAUCGUUUAAAGCGUAUGGUAACACAUUUAUUAUUC
RNAcentral lists this long non-coding RNA (9359 nucleotides) under Nicotiana tabacum (common tobacco). Its description in RNAcentral is "long non-coding RNA (NTAB_LNC001782)". The record is from RNAcentral. Lineage: Eukaryota; Viridiplantae; Streptophyta; Magnoliopsida; Solanales; Solanaceae.